RNAcentral lists this ribosomal RNA (515 nucleotides) under uncultured bacterium. RNAcentral's name for it is "bacterial SSU rRNA". It matches the Rfam family "Bacterial small subunit ribosomal RNA", at positions 501 to 1017 of the family's 1533-position model. The record is from RNAcentral.
CUACGUGCCAGCAGCCGCGGUAAUACGGAGGGUGCGAGCGUUAAUCGGAAUAACUGGGCGUAAAGGGCACGCAGGCGGUGACUUAAGUGAGAUGUGAAAGCCCCGAGCUUAACUUGGGAAUUGCAUUUCAUACUGGGUCGCUAGAGUACUUUAGGGAGGGGUAGAAUUCCACGUGUAGCGGUGAAAUGCGUAGAGAUGUGGAGGAAUACCGAAGGCGAAGGCAGCCCCUUGGGAAUGUACUGACGCUCAUGUGCGAAAGCGUGGGGAGCAAACAGGAUUAGAUACCCUGGUAGUCCACGCUGUAAACGAUGUCGAUUUGGGGAUUGGGCUUUGAGCUUGGUGCCCGUAGCUAACGUGAUAAAUCGACCGCCUGGGGAGUACGGCCGCAAGGUUAAAACUCAAAUGAAUUGACGGGGGCCCGCACAAGCGGUGGAGCAUGUGGUUUAAUUCGAUGCAACGCGAAGAACCUUACCUACUCUUGACAUCCAUGGAAUCUUGUAGAGAUACGAGAGUGC